GAAUCUUGCGCAAUGGGCGAAAGCCUGACGCAGCAACGCCGCGUGGAGGAUGAAGGCCUUUGGGUUGUAAACUCCUGUCGGCUGGGAAGAAAUCAUACGGCGCUCAUACCGCCGUAUGUUGACUGUACCAGCAAAGGAAGCCCCGGCUAACUCUGUGCCAGCAGCCGCGGUAAUACAGAGGGGGCCAGCGUUAUUCGGAAUUAUUGGGCGUAAAGGGCGCGUAGGCGGCCAUGCGUGUCUUCCGUGAAAUCCCUCGGCUUAACUGAGGACGUGCGGAAGAAACUGCAAGGCUCGAGUCCGGGAGAGGGGGGUGGAAUUCCCAGUGUAGCGGUGAAAUGCGUAGAUAUUGGGAGGAACACCGGUGGCGAAGGCGGCCCCCUGGACCGGUACUGACGCUGAGGCGCGAAAGCGUGGGUAGCAAACGG
RNAcentral lists this ribosomal RNA (425 nucleotides) under uncultured bacterium. Its description in RNAcentral is "bacterial SSU rRNA". It matches the Rfam family "Bacterial small subunit ribosomal RNA", at positions 359 to 775 of the family's 1533-position model. The record is from RNAcentral.